Molecule: ribosomal RNA, 364 nt
Filed under: uncultured Flavobacterium sp.
Lineage: Bacteria; Pseudomonadati; Bacteroidota; Flavobacteriia; Flavobacteriales; Flavobacteriaceae
Description: bacterial SSU rRNA
Rfam family: Bacterial small subunit ribosomal RNA
Source: RNAcentral
GAGUUUGAUCCUGGCUCAGGAUGAACGCUAGCGGCAGGCUUAACACAUGCAAGUCGAGGGGUAGAGUUAGCUUGCUAACUUGAGACCGGCGCACGGGUGCGUAACGCGUAUGCAAUCUACCUUGUACAGGGGGAUAGGCCCAGAGAAAUUUGGAUUAAUACCCCAUAGUGUUAUGAUGUGGCAUCACAUUAUAACUAAAAGUUCCAACGGUACAAGAUGAGCAUGCGUCCCAUUAGCUAGUUGGUGUGGUAACGGCAUACCAAGGCAACGAUGGGUAGGGGUCCUGAGAGGGAGAUCCCCCAACACUGGUACUGGAGACACGGACCAGACUCCUACGGGAGGCAGGCAGUGAGGAAUAGUUGGU